AUCAACCAUGCAUCCAUAAUGUUCGAUUUCAGGACGGAUAGAGAAGUCAAAUACCAUACUCUCAAAUAUCUUACGUCCUUCUUCAAUUAGCCCUGCAUGAGUGCAGGCACUUAAAACACUAAUAAAUGUAACACCAUUUGGCUUUAUUUUCUCCUCCUUCAUCUUGUGAAACAUUGUCAGUGCUUCUUCUGCAUAUCCGUGUGCUGCAAGCCCUUCAAUCACUGAAUUCCAACAAAACAAGUUCUUCUCUCGCAACUUGAAGAACACCAAGAGGGACCUAUCUAAGCUCCCACAUUUGGCGUACAUAUCAAUCAAUGCAGACCCUAUAUAAACAUCAAGGUGAAAUCCAUUCUGCAUUACAUAAAGAUGUAUUUCUUUCCCCAAGUCA
RNAcentral lists this unclassified non-coding RNA (388 nucleotides) under Hevea brasiliensis (rubber tree). The record is from RNAcentral. Lineage: Eukaryota; Viridiplantae; Streptophyta; Magnoliopsida; Malpighiales; Euphorbiaceae.